GAAAAGUGGCGAAAGGGUCAGUAAUGCGAUCGAACGUGCCCUGAGGUGGAGGAUAGGCAUGGGAAACUGUGCGUAAUACUCCAUGUGCUCCACGGAGGAAAGCCGCAAGGCGCCUUUGGAGCGGCGAUCGUCCUAUCAGCUAGUUGGUGAGGUAACGGCUCACCAAGGCUUCGACGGGUAGCGGGUGUGAGAGCACGACCCGCGACAUCGGGACUGAGACACUGCCCGGACUCCUACGGGAGGCUGCAGCGACGAAUCUUCCGCAAUGGGCGAAAGCCUGACGGAGCAAUGCCGCGUGCAGGAUGAAGCGGCUACGCCGUGUAAACUGCUGUCAGGGGGUAGAAACACUGAUCACCCCCAAAGGAAGAGCCGGCUAACCCUGUGCCAGCAGCCGCGGUAAGACAGGGGGCUCGAGCGUUAAUCGGAAUCAUUGGGCUUAAAGGGUGCGUAGGCGGGUUGCUAAGUGUUCUGUGAAAUCCCCCGGCUCAACCGGGGAAUCGCAGGGCAUACUG
This 512-nucleotide ribosomal RNA is filed under the name uncultured bacterium. RNAcentral describes it as "bacterial SSU rRNA". It matches the Rfam family "Bacterial small subunit ribosomal RNA", at positions 90 to 635 of the family's 1533-position model. The record is from RNAcentral.